This 298-nucleotide signal recognition particle RNA is filed under the name Aotus nancymaae (Ma's night monkey). RNAcentral describes it as "Metazoan signal recognition particle RNA (ENSANAG00000011772.1)". It matches the Rfam family "Metazoan signal recognition particle RNA". Rfam says of the family: The signal recognition particle (SRP) is a universally conserved ribonucleoprotein. It is involved in the co-translational targeting of proteins to membranes. The record is from RNAcentral. Lineage: Eukaryota; Metazoa; Chordata; Mammalia; Primates; Aotidae.
GCCGGGUGCAGUGGCACAUGCCUGUUGUGCCAGCUACUAGGGAGGCUGAGUGGGCAGAUCACUUGAGCCCAGGAGUUCUGGGCUGUAGUGUGCUAUGCCAAUUGGGUGUCUGCACUAAGUUCGGCAUCAAUAUGGUGACCUUCUGGGAGCGGGGGACCACCAGGUUGCCUAAGGAGGGGUGAACCGGCCCAGGUCGGAAAUGGAGAAGGUCAAAACUGCCGUGCUGAUCAGUAGUGGGAUCACGCCUGUGAACAGCCACUGCACUCCAGCCUGGGCAACAUAGCGAGACCCUGUCUCA